UAAGGAAUAUUGGUCAAUGGAGGCAACUCUGAACCAGCCAUGCCGCGUGAAGGAUUAAGGCCCUCUGGGUUGUAAACUUCUUUUAUAUGGGAAGAAAUGUUCUGAUUCUUCAGAGCUUGACGGUACCAUAGGAAUAAGCACCGGCUAACUCCGUGCCAGCAGCCGCGGUAAUACGGAGGGUGCAAGCGUUAUCCGGAUUCACUGGGUUUAAAGGGUGCGUAGGUGGGCAGAUAAGUCAGUGGUGAAAUCUUCCGGCUUAACCGGAAAAUUGCCGUUGAUACUAAUUGUCUUGAAUAUUGUGGAGGUAAGCGGAAUAUGUCAUGUAGCGGUGAAAUGCUUAGAUAUGACAUAGAACACCAAUUGCGAAGGCAGCUUACUAUAUAAUUAUUGACACUGAGGCACGAAAGCGUGGGUAGCGAACA
This 422-nucleotide ribosomal RNA is filed under the name uncultured bacterium. RNAcentral's name for it is "bacterial SSU rRNA". It matches the Rfam family "Bacterial small subunit ribosomal RNA", at positions 355 to 774 of the family's 1533-position model. The record is from RNAcentral.